This 827-nucleotide ribosomal RNA is filed under the name uncultured archaeon. RNAcentral's name for it is "bacterial SSU rRNA". It matches the Rfam family "Archaeal small subunit ribosomal RNA", at positions 21 to 856 of the family's 1478-position model. The record is from RNAcentral.
GGUCACUGCUAUCGGGGUUCGAUUAAGCCAUGCGAGUUGAGAGGGUUCAGACCCUCGGCAGACUGCUCAGUAACACGUGGAUAACCUGCCCUAAGGUGGAGAAUAACCCCGGGAAACUGGGGAUAAUACUCCAUAGAUUAUAGAUACUGGAAUGUUUUAUAGUCGAAAGCUCCGGCGCCUUAGGAUGGAUCUGCGGCCGAUUAGGUUGUUGUUGGGGUAACGGCCCAACAAGCCUGUAAUCGGUACGGGUUGUGGGAGCAAGAGCCCGGAGAUGGAAUCUGAGACACGAUUCCAGGCCCUACGGGGCGCAGCAGGCGCGAAAACUUUACAAUGCAGGAAACUGUGAUAAGGGAACCCCGAGUGCCCGUAUAUGCGGGCUGUCCAGGUGUUUAAAAUGCAUCUGAAGAAAGGGCCGGGCAAGACCGGUGCCAGCCGCCGCGGUAAUACCGGCGGCUCGAGUGGUGGCCACUAUUAUUGGGCUUAAAGCGUCCGUAGCUGGAUUGAUAAGUCUCCUGGGAAAUCCGCCGGCUUAACCGGUGGGCGUCCGGGAGAUACUGUUAAUCUAGGGACCGGGAGAGGUGAGAGGUACUCCGGGGGUAGGAGUGAAAUCCUGUAAUCCCCGGGGGACCACCUGUGGCGAAGGCGUCUCACCAGAACGGCUCCGACAGUGAGGGACGAAAGCUGGGGGAGCGAACCGGAUUAGAUACCCGGGUAGUCCCAGCCGUAAACGAUGCGCGUUAGGUGUACCGGUGACCACGAGUUACCGGGGUGCCGAAGGGAAACCGUGAAACGUGCCGCCUGGGAAGUACGGUCGCAAGGCUGAAACU